Sistotremastrum suecicum HHB10207 ss-3 is the source of this 104-nucleotide transfer RNA. It matches the Rfam family "tRNA". From Rfam's summary of the family: Transfer RNA (tRNA) molecules are approximately 80 nucleotides in length. Their secondary structure includes four short double-helical elements and three loops (D, anti-codon, and T loops). NCBI's taxonomy places the organism in Eukaryota, Fungi, Basidiomycota, Agaricomycetes, Sistotremastrales, Sistotremastraceae. The record is from Rfam.
GGGCGCGUGGCGCAGUUGGUAGCGCGCAUGCUUAGCAGUAGCUCGACCGUGGGAACGUGAUUACGUAAUGCAUGAGGGCUAGGGUUCAAAUCCCUACGCGUCCA